RNAcentral lists this microRNA precursor (86 nucleotides) under Solanum lycopersicum (tomato). Its description in RNAcentral is "MIR8024 microRNA precursor family". It matches the Rfam family "MIR8024 microRNA precursor family". Lineage: Eukaryota; Viridiplantae; Streptophyta; Magnoliopsida; Solanales; Solanaceae. The record is from Rfam by way of RNAcentral.
UUGAAGAAUUUGAAGACUUCAACUUGAAGUCUUUAUAAAUUUGUAGACUUUAACUUGCAAACUUGAAGAAUUAUAAGACUUCAACU